RNAcentral lists this ribosomal RNA (236 nucleotides) under uncultured bacterium. RNAcentral's name for it is "partial 16S ribosomal RNA". It matches the Rfam family "Bacterial small subunit ribosomal RNA", at positions 113 to 334 of the family's 1533-position model. The record is from RNAcentral.
CAACGUAGGUAAUCUACCUUCGGGUGGGGAAUAACCCAGGGAAACUUGGGCUAACACCGCAUAAUGCAGCGGCACCACAUGGUGACAGUUGUUAAAGCGGGGGAUCUUAGGACCUCGCGCCUGAAGAGGAGCCUGCGGCGGAUUAGCUAGUUGGUGAGGUAACGGCUCACCAAGGUGACGAUCCGUAGCCGGCCUGAGAGGGCGGUCGGCCACACUGACACUGACAUACGGGUCAG